RNAcentral lists this transfer RNA (70 nucleotides) under Dipodomys ordii (Ord's kangaroo rat). It matches the Rfam family "tRNA". From Rfam's summary of the family: Transfer RNA (tRNA) molecules are approximately 80 nucleotides in length. Their secondary structure includes four short double-helical elements and three loops (D, anti-codon, and T loops). The record is from Rfam by way of RNAcentral. Lineage: Eukaryota; Metazoa; Chordata; Mammalia; Rodentia; Heteromyidae.
GGGAAUGUGGCUUAGUGUUGGAGUGCUUGCCUAGUACGCAUGAAGCCCUGGGUUCAAUUCCUCAGUCCCA